CUGUAAGACCAGCGGCGCGGCGGCCGGCCGGCUGCAGCAGCUGGAGACGGCGCGGCGCGAGCUGUGCGAGCUGCACCGACAGACGGACGAGCGGCUGCAGGCGCUGGCGCCCCGCAUCACCGAAACGCGGCACGCGAUCUUCAAGCUGCGCGACAAGCUCAAGUACCGGACGGCGCAGCAGGUGGACGAUGCCGUGCUGCGGCUCGAGAAACAAGUACAAACGCAAAAUUUCAAGCUCAGGGAGGAGGAGAAGGUGGUCCGUGAGAUCAACGACCUGAAAAAAUCCAAACGAACGCUUCGCGAAUACGACGCCAAAAAGAAAGAGCUGGACGCGCUGACCCAGAACCAGCGGGGCCUGCGGUACGAGCGUGACCGUCUGUACGGGGAGAUCGACAAGAACAAGCGGGAGGAGGAGCGGAUCCACCGCGAGGCACAGUCCACUGCGGCCAGCAUCAAAAUGCUGGACGAAGAGCUGGACGGGCUGCGGCGUCAACGACAGGCGCUAGACGCCCUUUACCAGGAGAGGCUGGACGCCUGGCAGGCGUGGCAGCGGCAGGCGG
Long non-coding RNA from Pollicipes pollicipes, 560 nucleotides. RefSeq lists it as uncharacterized. NCBI's taxonomy places the organism in Eukaryota, Metazoa, Arthropoda, Thecostraca, Pollicipedomorpha, Pollicipedidae. The record is from RefSeq and is a predicted model, not a curated record. The transcript is spliced from 4 exons.